GUCCUUCCAUUCGUGGAGAUGGAACAUACCAGAGUGGGCAAGAUACUAAGUCUUCUUAAUGUUUUCUACUCUUAGGGUGUGCUUAAAUACCCGGAGUGGAGGGGGAUGGGUCUGGAUGGAAUUGGAAGUUUCAUACUCUACAUACAUACAUCGUCCGCUUAAAAAGGUGACUUUGCCGGUUUCUGCCUCAGAGUGUUGUGACAAGGGCAAAGACAGAAGCCGCACGAGAUCAAAGGAUCCCCUGGUACAGUGGUACCCAUGGAACACAUUGUCUUGAGUCAUGCAUUAAAUCCAGGGCUGUCUAAUGUGUGGCCUAGGAAUUGUAA
This is a long non-coding RNA of Peromyscus eremicus (cactus mouse), 326 nucleotides long. RefSeq lists it as uncharacterized. NCBI's taxonomy places the organism in Eukaryota, Metazoa, Chordata, Mammalia, Rodentia, Cricetidae. The record is from RefSeq and is a predicted model, not a curated record. The transcript has 2 exons.